Molecule: transfer RNA, 71 nt
Filed under: Leptestheria brevirostris
Lineage: Eukaryota; Metazoa; Arthropoda; Branchiopoda; Diplostraca; Leptestheriidae
Description: tRNA-Val
Rfam family: tRNA
About the family: Transfer RNA (tRNA) molecules are approximately 80 nucleotides in length. Their secondary structure includes four short double-helical elements and three loops (D, anti-codon, and T loops).
Source: RNAcentral
CAAAGUAGAGCUUGAUAGUUAAGCGCUUCACUUACACUGAGAUGUUAUCUGUGCGAAUCAGAUUGCUUUGA